GACGAACGCUGGCGGCGCGCCUAACACAUGCAAGUCGAACGAGCGAGAGAGAGCUUGCUUUCUCGAGCGAGUGGCGAACGGGUGAGUAACGCGUGAGGAACCUGCCUCAAAGAGGGGGACAACAGUUGGAAACGACUGCUAAUACCGCAUAAGCCCACGACCCGGCAUCGGGUAGAGGGAAAAGGAGCAAUCCGCUUUGAGAUGGCCUCGCGUCCGAUUAGCUAGUUGGUGAGGUAACGGCCCACCAAGGCGACGAUCGGUAGCCGGACUGAGAGGUUGAACGGCCACAUUGGGACUGAGACACGGCCCAGACUCCUACGGGAGGCAGCAGUGAGGAAUAUUGCACAAUGGGGGAAACCCUGAUGCAGCGACGCCGCGUGGAGGAAGAAGGUCUUCGGAUUGUAAACUCCUGUUGUUGAGGAAGAUAAUGACGGUACUCAACAAGGAAGUGACGGCUAACUACGUG
RNAcentral lists this ribosomal RNA (466 nucleotides) under uncultured bacterium. Its description in RNAcentral is "partial 16S ribosomal RNA". It matches the Rfam family "Bacterial small subunit ribosomal RNA", at positions 28 to 507 of the family's 1533-position model. The record is from RNAcentral.